UGUGUGUCUGACGUCAGAAAAUGUUAUAGAUUUGUCGUUCAAUGUGCAUACAAAAUACACAAUAAAUAUUCUAAUAUUAAAACAGUAAGUUAUGCAACAAUACAAAAGUUAAAUUAAGUAGGAAAAUGUCUUUCUUAAAGUAGGGACAUUUCAACUGCAUCAUUUAGCCAUUUUUUUUACCCAAGUCCUAGCUAUCUUUUGAAACCUGAAUAGUGCCAAUAUGUUUAAGAAGAAUUGGUAUUAAACAGCAGUAAUGAAUACCCUUUUUUCGUUUUUAUUCAAUUAUUCAACAUUUAUAUAAAUUAUAGAUAUAUUACAUAUUACACACAAAUAUCACAAGACAAUGUUUUAAGUAUAAAGACAUAUACAAUCAACACAAUAAUCAGAAAGUAAAUGUUAUGACGCCUUCAGUUUCUUGUACCGGAAUAUUAUUCUUUAAAAAGCGUUUCUCAAAAACAUAUCUCAUACAUCUUGCAUCACACAAAUAUUCAUACAGGUAAGUUAUAUAAUGUUAACAGUGUAUUUAAAUAGUUCAAUUAGAUCAACAUUUCUGUUUAAAUUUUUAGGUAAAUUCCUUCUUUUGAAGAUACAAUAUCUCGC
This 600-nucleotide long non-coding RNA is filed under the name Mytilus galloprovincialis (Mediterranean mussel). The record is from RNAcentral. Lineage: Eukaryota; Metazoa; Mollusca; Bivalvia; Mytilida; Mytilidae.